AAAUUGAAGAGUUUGAUCAUGGCUCAGAUUGAACGCUGGCGGCAGGCCUAACACAUGCAAGUCGAACGGUAGCACAGAGAGCUUGCUCUCGGGUGACGAGUGGCGGACGGGUGAGUAAUGUCUGGGAAACUGCCCGAUGGAGGGGGAUAACUACUGGAAACGGUAGCUAAUACCGCAUAACGUCGCAAGACCAAAGUGGGGGACCUUCGGGCCUCACACCAUCGGAUGUGCCCAGAUGGGAUUAGCUAGUAGGUGGGGUAACGGCUCACCUAGGCGACGAUCCCUAGCUGGUCUGAGAGGAUGACCAGCCACACUGGAACUGAGACACGGUCCAGACUCCUACGGGAGGCAGCAGUGGGGAAUAUUGCACAAUGGGCGCAAGCCUGAUGCAGCCAUGCCGCGUGUAUGAAGAAGGCCUUCGGGUUGUAAAGUACUUUCAGCGAGGAGGAAGGCGUUG
This 457-nucleotide ribosomal RNA is filed under the name Salmonella enterica subsp. enterica serovar Kentucky. RNAcentral's name for it is "bacterial SSU rRNA". It matches the Rfam family "Bacterial small subunit ribosomal RNA", at positions 1 to 456 of the family's 1533-position model. Lineage: Bacteria; Pseudomonadati; Pseudomonadota; Gammaproteobacteria; Enterobacterales; Enterobacteriaceae. The record is from RNAcentral.